RNAcentral lists this ribosomal RNA (253 nucleotides) under uncultured bacterium. Its description in RNAcentral is "partial 16S ribosomal RNA". It matches the Rfam family "Bacterial small subunit ribosomal RNA", at positions 524 to 776 of the family's 1533-position model. The record is from RNAcentral.
UACGAAGGGGGCUAGCGUUGCUCGGAAUCACUGGGCGUAAAGGGUGCGUAGGCGGGUCUUUAAGUCAGAGGUGAAAUCCUGGAGCUCAACUCCAGAACUGCCUUUGAUACUGAGGAUCUUGAGUAUGGGAGAGGUGAGUGGAACUGCGAGUGUAGAGGUGAAAUUCGUAGAUAUUCGCAAGAACACCAGUGGCGAAGGCGGCUCACUGGCCCAUUGCUGACGCUGAGGCACGAAAGCGUGGGGAGCAAACAGG